CUCCAGAGACUAAUCCUUCCUUUGGCUGGCUCUGCUGCUGCUAUGGCAAUAUUUUCUCCCCCAUCGUGGUAAUCACGCAAUGGUCUCUGAGAACAGCAGGAGAAGCAGUGCCUGGUAGAUGCAUAAAAGAGCUGAUAGAACGCUCAGAAUGAAGGCAGCUGAUGGCAGGGGGACCUUCAGCUUGUCCAGCCCAGCCCCGGCUCCCAGCCCUCUGCUGCACGUGGUGGGCUCAGAGCCCCUCAGAGCCACAUCCUGCCUGGCCCCCCUGCCCAUGCCAGCCUCGGGCCCUGCUCUGGCCAUGGCACUGCAGCCUCAGAACGGAAGUUCCUGGUGUUCCCGACCGGUGCUGGAAUGCUGCUUCCACCUCCAGGAAUGCAAAUGAACGGGGUUUGAUCCAAAUUGCAUUUCCUCUCCUAGUCUGGAGUAUGACGGCACAUUAAAACCUGUAAUAUUCCA
Molecule: long non-coding RNA, 456 nt
Organism: Chiroxiphia lanceolata (lance-tailed manakin)
Lineage: Eukaryota; Metazoa; Chordata; Aves; Passeriformes; Pipridae
Exons: 2
Source: RefSeq, a predicted model, not a curated record